GUAGAAAUAAACUAUUUAAGUUAUCUGGCUCAUGCUCAGAAAAUGGAGUUUUAUAUAAUUCCUUUUUACA
RNAcentral lists this transfer RNA (70 nucleotides) under Ruditapes philippinarum (Manila clam). RNAcentral describes it as "tRNA-Met". Lineage: Eukaryota; Metazoa; Mollusca; Bivalvia; Venerida; Veneridae. The record is from RNAcentral.